Molecule: ribosomal RNA, 253 nt
Filed under: uncultured bacterium
Lineage: Bacteria
Description: partial 16S ribosomal RNA
Rfam family: Bacterial small subunit ribosomal RNA
Source: RNAcentral
UACGAAGGGGGCUAGCGUUGCUCGGAAUCACUGGGCGUAAAGCGCACGUAGGCGGAUUGCUAAGUCAGGGGUGAAAUCCUGGAGCUCAACUCCAGAACUGCCUUUGAUACUGGCGACCUUGAGUCCGGGAGAGGUGAGUGGAACUGCGAGUGUAGAGGUGAAAUUCGUAGAUAUCUGGAGGAACACCGGUGGCGAAGGCGGCAUCCUGGACCGACACUGACGCUGAGGAGCGAAAGCCAGGGGAGCAAACGGG